AAUCAUAAUGGCCGAAAAUCUAAGGUUUCCUGGGGAAGGUUCGUCCGCCCAGGGUUAGUCGGGAGCUAAGCUCAGGCCGAAAGGCGUAGGCGAUGCACAUACGGUAGAAAUUCCGUAACCACCGAACUUUAAGCUAGAGGGACGCUUUCUUUAAGGUUAUCCCGGGCGAUGGUUGCCCCGGGCGUAAGGGACCGAAAUUUAGUAGGGAAGUAACUGGCGAGAGAGACGAGAAAAGCUCUAGUGUAUACUAAGGUGCCCGUACCGCAAACCGACACAGGUAGAUGGGAUGAGUAUUCUAAGGCCAACGGGAGAAGGGUUGUUAAGGAACUCGGCAAAUUGGCCCCGUAACUUCGGGAUAAGGGGCGCCUGCGAGAGCAGGCCGCAGUGAAAAGGCCCAAGCGACUGUUUAGCAAAAACACAGCUCUCUGCUAAAUCGAAAGAUGACGUAUAGGGGGUGACGCCUGCCCGGUGCUGGAAGGUUAAGGGGAGUGCUUAGCGCAAGCGAAGGUGCGAACUUAAGCCCCAGUAAACGGCGGCCGUAACUAUAACGGUCCUAAGGUAGCGAAAUUCCUUGUCAGGUAAGUUCUGACCCGCACGAAUGGCGUAACGAUUUGGGCACUGUCUCAACAGCCCGCCCGGCGAAAUUGUAGUACCGGUGAAGAUGCCGGUUUCCCGCAACUAGACGGAAAGACCCCAUGGAGCUUCACUGUAGCUUGAUAUUGGACUUCGGUAUUCCAUGUACAGGAUAGGUGGGAGGCUAGGAAGCGAGCGCGCCAGCGUUCGUGGAGCCAACCUUGGGAUACCACUCUUGGGAUAUUGGAGUUCUAACCUGCGACCAUGAAUCUGGUCGGGGGACAUUGUCAGGUGGGCAGUUUGACUGGGGCGGUCGCCUCCAAAAGAGUAACGGAGGCGCUCAAAGGUUCGUUCAGCACGGACGGAAAUCGUGCACUGAGUGUAAACGCAUAAACGAGCCUAACUGCGAGAAUGACGGUUCGAGCAGUAACGAAAGUUGGAGUUAGUGA
RNAcentral lists this ribosomal RNA (1022 nucleotides) under human gut metagenome. RNAcentral's name for it is "bacterial LSU rRNA". It matches the Rfam family "Bacterial large subunit ribosomal RNA", at positions 1326 to 2418 of the family's 2925-position model. The record is from RNAcentral.